UGUGCCGUCGGAGAAGGUAACCACGGGUCGAGUCUUGUCGUCGGUUCUGAAGGGUGUUGGAGCGGCGUGCAGGUGUUAGAAAGUGCCACCCAUCGUUGUGCGGAAAGUGAAGAAAAGCAGUCGAUAAAGUUACCUUAGUGAUUCUACCAGAAGUCAUUCCAUCAUACUGCCUUCCCUGCCGUGUCCCGCCCGCCGACGUGUCCUCUUCAACCAAAAGGGCCGUUGCCGAUCGAUCGAUCGGCGGCUGUUCCUCCCCCUCUCUCUUUGUGGUUGGUGGAGGUGAUCGAAGUUUCAAAUCCCUCGGAAGGAUUGAAGACAACCAAAAAAAAAAAGCAAAUAAUUAUCCCGACACUUGUUCACAAAUCUACAUUCUACAUACACGUACAUCGCCACCGACGAUAAGAAAAAUUGAAAUCCAUCUUCAGUACAGUUGCCGUCGUCUUCGUCGUUGUCGUCGUCGUCGUCGGUUAGAUUAGCCCUACGAGGACAACCACAGACGAUUUAACACUCUCACACACACACAGCACACACACACGGACCUACAAACACCCGCAUCCAUUAACCAGCGAAGUGUGCAGAAGGACGCUCCGGCGCUAAGAAGCAGUCAAAAUGACGAAGGAUAGAUUAGCAGCUUUGCAAGCGGCACAAAGCGACGAUGAGGACAUGCCCGAGGAUGUGGCUGUCCCGGUGGAGGGCAGCUUCAUGGAGGACUUCUUCAAGGAGGUGGAGGAGAUACGGAUGAUGAUCGACAAAAUCCAGGCGAACGUCGAGGAGGUGAAGAAAAAACACAGUGCCAUCCUUUCGGCGCCACAGUCAGAUGAAAAAACCAAACAAGAACUCGAAGACCUCAUGGCCGACAUCAAAAAAACUGCCAACAGAGUUAGAGGGAAGCUCAAGGGUAUCGAACAAAACAUUGAGCAGGAGGAGCAGCAGAGCAAGUCGAACGCCGAUCUGAGGAUACGAAAAACGCAGCACUCAGCUCUUUCGCGCAAGUUCGUCGAGGUCAUGACGGAGUACAACCGGACCCAGACCGACUACCGAGAGCGGUGCAAAGGAAGAAUACAACGACAGCUGGAAAUUACGGGUAGAGCUACGACAAACGAGGAGCUGGAGGAGAUGUUGGAGCAAGGAAACUCGGCCGUCUUCACGCAGGGGAUUAUCAUGGAGACCCAGCAGGCGAAGCAAACGCUGGCUGACAUCGAGGCACGGCAUGCGGAUAUUAUAAAAUUGGAAAAUUCAAUUAGGGAGCUGCAUGACAUGUUCAUGGACAUGGCGAUGUUGGUUGAAAGUCAGGGUGAAAUGAUUGAUCGUAUAGAAUAUCACGUCGAACAUGCAAUGGAUUAUGUUCAAACAGCGACACAAGACACAAAGAAAGCGCUUAAAUAUCAAAGCAAAGCCCGCCGGAAAAAAAUCCUGAUCGCUAUCUGCGUUCUGGUAACGAUCAUCAUAUUAGUAGUGUUCCUGGCAGUUUAUCUUACGUAGACGGGAAGCUGCUUAUCGCCGCGUCAAACCAAGAUGGGUAGUAGAAAAAGUGUGUUCAUGAAUCAUCCGACCGAAGUGAAAAAAGUCAUGAUAGCAGUUUGCCUUUCAAUAACGCUCCUAGUAAUAAUAAUUAUUAUUUUCGUAACGUAAACUUAGGCAAGCACAUUAUCAUAAGCAAGGGCGGUAAACAAGUUUCAGUUUAUUGGAAAGCACCAGAAGAGGUAUAGGAUGAAUCAAUGGAACCGUGUAAUGUUCCUUCGCGCUACGUCACCACCAAACACAAGGGUAGGAUUACGGAAGGAUACUGCGAAGCGUAAGUCAGAACUUUUUUUGUCCGCAAGAUUGGAAGCGUGGCGAGAGAAAUUAAUCAUGGAAGGCUGGUUCUAUGAAAAAGUGAAAAAUUCGCGCUUGCUAGAUGAAUUAAGUGUGGAUGUUCUUGUAAAUUAAAAUAUUAUGUUCUUACUCAUGUAAACCAAAACGUAGCUCCACUAUGUUACAACCUCCUAGUGCUUCUUUGUUUUAAGCCUGCCAACCUACGUUGCAGAACCGUGAGAACAACCGAACACAAGUGUUAAGUGUUAAUUAAUGUAACAGUGUAUGGCAUUUAUGCUUACAAGGAUGUGCGAAGGUUUCAAAUGGUACAGAAGAACAACUUUCCUCGUACAAACCGAGCAUUGUUUUAUUUACUGGGUAUCUGAUCAGUGCUACAACUAUAUGCAAACUUUGGGGAUGUGAACAUAGUGUCAAAAUUCGAUCAAAUAUUUAUUACAUAGUUUCACAAAAGAAAAAGAAUAGAGAAAGAUUGUCAUAUAAGUGGUCGCACUUUGUUGAAAUCGAUUAUAGAAAACCUUUUUGACUGCAAAUGCGUUUAUGAAGUGAUAAUUGCCGAACAAUAUAAAAUAAGUAAUAUUUUUAAACUUGAUUGUAAUGGUAUUGUUUAUUUUUGUUUGUUGAUUCAGUAAAAUUCUUUAACAC
Anopheles coustani is the source of this 2457-nucleotide RNA transcript. It is a transcript of the gene named syntaxin-1A, with no coding region annotated. NCBI's taxonomy places the organism in Eukaryota, Metazoa, Arthropoda, Insecta, Diptera, Culicidae. The transcript has 10 exons. The record is from RefSeq and is a predicted model, not a curated record.